AUACGGAGGAUCCGAGCGUUAUCCGGAUUUAUUGGGUUUAAAGGGAGCGUAGAUGGAUGUUUAAGUCAGUUGUGAAAGUUUGCGGCUCAACCGUAAAAUUGCAGUUGAUACUGGAUAUCUUGAGUGCAGUUGAGGCAGGCGGAAUUCGUGGUGUAGCGGUGAAAUGCUUAGAUAUCACGAAGAACUCCGAUUGCGAAGGCAGCCUGCUAAGCUGCAACUGACAUUGAGGCUCGAAAGUGUGGGUAUCAAACAGGAUUAGAUACCCUGGUAGUCCACACGGUAAACGAUGAAUACUCGCUGUUUGCGAUAUACGGCAAGCGGCCAAGCGAAAGCGUUAAGUAUUCCACCUGGGGAGUACGCCGGCAACGGUGAAACUCAAAUGAAUUGACGGGG
RNAcentral lists this ribosomal RNA (393 nucleotides) under uncultured bacterium. RNAcentral's name for it is "partial 16S ribosomal RNA". It matches the Rfam family "Bacterial small subunit ribosomal RNA", at positions 523 to 918 of the family's 1533-position model. The record is from RNAcentral.